This 1331-nucleotide long non-coding RNA is filed under the name Vulpes vulpes (red fox). RNAcentral describes it as "lncRNA (ENSVVUG00000001809.1)". The record is from RNAcentral. Lineage: Eukaryota; Metazoa; Chordata; Mammalia; Carnivora; Canidae.
AGAAAAUAGAAUGGUUGUUGAGUAGAUAACCCAUAGUGUCUACUAUACUAUGUGUUUUCUGGGAAAAAAAAAAAGUCUUCUUUUUCUUUACUUUAAAAAAAUAUUUAGACUUUUUAUAUAUCUUCAAGUAAGCAUUAAAUAAAUCUCUCAGUUCCAAUUCAUAUGCUUCUCAAUAUGGUGUGUUUAUGAGACCAUGUUUCUAUUUAACUUUUCAGCCAUGAAGAGGAUGUUUGUUAGUGUUCAGUUUUCAAUGCGCCGACCACAGAUAACUGUAUUCCAAUCUCACUGUGCUGAUAAUGCCCUGCAUUUACUAAAGCUAUGUGAAAACUGAAUUGAAGAGGAGGAGACAUAGAAGCAGGAAGACCAGCUAGGAGACCAGGGUAAGAAGAGAGGAAGACAUGACAAGAAUCCGACAUAUCACAUGUGAGUAGAAAUGGAAAAAAAUCAGUUUAGUGAAAAAACUGUAACACUACAAGGAUAACAAGAAAAAUAUGAGAAAGUUACAGUUUUGAUGACCUAAAGAUCCAUAUCCUCACACCCUCUGCUGUCAUUUUCACCAUCCCUAAAAUGGUGUCCCCAAGAUAUCCCUGUCUUCCACAUGGCCCUUGAGAUGAUAUGAAAGGAUAACAGUGGAUACUCCCUUCUCUCCAGUGGGCAGUCUGCUUCUGUGGGGCCAGUCCCCUUUGAGGGACACUUCUUUAUCAUUUCCCAAUUAUUUGUCUGUAAGGGAACCUAUAGAGUUUAGCCCCAGGUCAUUUCAAGAACUCAUGUUGUAUUAGUAAAAUCAAUUAUAAAACACAAUGGCAGGGCACUGUGGAAGCUAAGCGACUGAUUAAAUUUUUCAGUUUUCAAUCCCCAGAAUAGGUUUUUGGAAGAAGUAUUGAGUCAAGUUGUUUUAAUUGAACUAUAAAUAACUAUCACCUUUGUUUUCACUUUUAUGCCCUAGAUACUAACCAUAUAUGAAUGGAAAAAAUGGAAGGAAAGAGAGAAAAGAGUUUUCAGUAAUUUAAGUAAUUAAUUAAGCUGAAUUUUUAUAAAUGGAAUCAACUUGAAUACUCUAAGGGUGUUUGAUAUAAACAUGUCAGGUGUAAAAUAAUGAACAAGCUCUAAAAAGACCAGAAAUUCUGAUUUCCUGCAAUUAUAAAAUCAAUGCUAUUCAACAUUUUACAGAUUAUAACAGACUUUCACAGAUACCUCAUAUGUCCUGAAUUUUAGACUCCCAGCAGCAACCUUAUGAUGUAGGCAUUGUUAUUAUCCCAAUUUUACAAAUCAAGAAGUAAUUCCAUGAGGCUAAGUGACUUGCCCAGGGUGACAGAGCUAGGAGGUGAUGG